Molecule: ribosomal RNA, 497 nt
Filed under: uncultured bacterium
Lineage: Bacteria
Description: partial 16S ribosomal RNA
Rfam family: Bacterial small subunit ribosomal RNA
Source: RNAcentral
GAUGAACGCUGGCGGCGUGCCUAAUACAUGCAAGUCGAGCGAACAGACGAGGAGCUUGCUCCUCUGACGUUAGCGGCGGACGGGUGAGUAACACGUGGAUAACCUACCUAUAAGACUGGGAUAACUUCGGGAAACCGGAGCUAAUACCGGAUAAUAUAUUGAACCGCAUGGUUCAAUAGUGAAAGACGGUUUUGCUGUCACUUAUAGAUGGAUCCUCGCCGCAUUAGCUAGUUGGUAAGGUAACGGCUUACCAAGGCAACGAUGCGUAGCCGACCUGAGAGGGUGAUCAGCCACACUGGAACUGAGACACGGUCCAGACUCCUACGGGAGGCAGCAGUAGGGAAUCUUCCGCAAUGGGCGAAAGCCUGACGGAGCAACGCCGCGUGAGUGAUGAAGGUCUUCGGAUCGUAAAACUCUGUUAUUAGGGAAGAACAAAUGUGUAAGUAACUAUGCACGUCUUGACGGUACCUAAUCAGAAAGCCACGGCUAACUACGUG